CGCGGCAGGUACGGAUUCCUUGGUUCGUACAUUGGUUGGUUAUUUUGUGCUAACACCAGUUUACUGCGCUUCGAUGUCUCGCGUUAUUUAAUUUGGGGUGUAAGCCUGAAAGCUAGGUUUCAGUCGUGAGCCAUGUGGAACACGUCUGCAUCGAAAUGGGAGCCGGGUCCUGCUGCAACUGGGGACAGCAAUACCGACAUGCAGUAAUGAGGAUGGCACCAGUAUAAAGCAACACACUCCAUGCACUAAACAGAAGCUGCUGCCUGCUACAACAAGGUCAUUGUGUGGACUUUGGCUGCUACUACAAGAGUCUGUGCCAAGUACAUCUUGGUCAUCACGGGAGCCCCCAUCUACACCAACAGGAAGGGGCUGGAGCUGAAUUCGCAAGACCACAAACAAAGAAGCCAUUCCAGAAUUAUUUGGAUGAAAUAUCAAGUCUACGGACGACUGUUUCAAGAGUGAAAAGAGCCUACGCCAUCAUUCCACCAGCACGGAUAUUGGCCGAGUCAUCCAGGUACCUCAACAACAAAAAUUUUGUGUUCAGAUGUACCUGCAACCUCUGAACAAGCACAGAUGACGCUGGCUAAGAGUGUUCCAUCAGCUUGCCCUUCCUUAGUGAGCUUCCUGGCCUUGCCAGUUCUUGCCAAGUAUAAUUUUGUUUCAAUGAAUGCAAGCUUUUUCAUUCCACACUUUUGUUAGAGAUCAUUCCUAUUCCUCAGACAAACAAUAAAGGUCAACCGAUUCUUUGCUCAUACUUAAUGCCAGUCACUGUCUAGUAGCAUAACAUAUGUGUAGCAGUUCUUUCUAGUGUAUGUUGCCAUGUGCAAUGCCUCUCCUGAAAUAGCUGAUGCAGCAUUGGCGUGUGUCUUGCAUUAACCUUUACACUGUGUGCUAUGUAGCAUUUAACUUUUGUUAAUGUUUUUGGCUUUCAAUGCUUGCAAGGUAGAGUGGCUUCUUUCUUGAAUGCAAGCUUUCUCAUUCCCAUAUUGAAUUCCUAGUCUCAUUCGGGAUUGCUAUUCUUG
This is a non-coding RNA of Dermacentor andersoni, 1022 nucleotides long. The record is from RefSeq and is a predicted model, not a curated record. Lineage: Eukaryota; Metazoa; Arthropoda; Arachnida; Ixodida; Ixodidae.